AACGAACGCUGGCGGCAGGCCUAACACAUGCAAGUCGAGCGGAUGUAGCAAUACAUCAGCGGCAGACGGGAGAGUAACACGUGGGAACGCGCCCUUCGGUUCGGAAUAACUCAGGGAAACUUGAGCUAAUACCGGAUACGCCCUAACGGGGAAAGAUUUAUCGCCGAAGGAACGGCCCGCGUCGGAUUAGCUAGUUGGUGAGGUAAUGGCUCACCAAGGCAACGAUCCGUAGCUGGUCUAAGAGGAUGAUCAGCCUCACUGGGACUGAGACACGGCCCAGACUCCUACGGGAGGCAGCAGUGGGGAAUCUUAGACAAUGGGCGAAAGCCUGAUCUAGCCAUGCCGCGUGAGUGAUGAAGGCCUUAGGGUCGUAAAGCUCUUUCGCCAGGGAUGAUAAUGACAGUACCUGGUAAAGAAACCCCGGCUAACUCCGUGCCAGCAGCCGCGGUAAUACGGAGGGGGUUAGCGUUGUUCGGAAUUACUGGGCGUAAAGCGCGCGUAGGCGGAUCAGAAAGUUGGGGGUGAAAUCCCAGGGCUCAACCCUGGAACUGCCUCCAAAACUCCUGGUCUUGAGUUCGAGAGAGGUGAGUGGAAUUCCGAGUGUAGAGGUGAAAUUCGUAGAUAUUCGGAGGAACACCAGUGGCGAAGGCGGCUCACUGGCUCGAUACUGACGCUGAGGUGCGAAAGUGUGGGGAGCAAACAGGAUUAGAUACCCUGGUAGUCCACACCGUAAACGAUGAAUGCCAGUCGUCGGGCAGCAUGCUUGUCGGUGACACACCUAA
RNAcentral lists this ribosomal RNA (782 nucleotides) under uncultured Roseobacter sp. RNAcentral's name for it is "bacterial SSU rRNA". It matches the Rfam family "Bacterial small subunit ribosomal RNA", at positions 28 to 855 of the family's 1533-position model. The record is from RNAcentral. Lineage: Bacteria; Pseudomonadati; Pseudomonadota; Alphaproteobacteria; Rhodobacterales; Roseobacteraceae.